RNAcentral lists this long non-coding RNA (562 nucleotides) under Heterocephalus glaber (naked mole-rat). Its description in RNAcentral is "lncRNA (ENSHGLG00000041353.1)". Lineage: Eukaryota; Metazoa; Chordata; Mammalia; Rodentia; Bathyergidae. The record is from RNAcentral.
GCUAUAGGUCUGGGAAAUCUUCUGUGAAGGAAAGUGCAUCAUUCCUCUCCACACAUAUGAUAUAAUCACACAAACACAAAGGAAAAGUCCUGCAACAGGAAUAGAAAAGGAGUAACUACAGGACACAGAAGAUAACUGUUGGUGGAAAAUAAGUGCAAGCAUGGAGAAGAAUGUGGGAAUCCCAAAAAUAUCCUACAGCGGUGUUGGGAGAGAAAUCUGUGCUGAAUCCUCAAGGAAGCCCUCUCUCAGAUCUUUGAUUGUCAUCCACAUCUGUCUUUGGUGAACACAGGUCCUUCUGCACUUACUGGGUGAUGCUGUUUCUCUGCUGGAUCACAGUCAAGGAGAGCAGAUGCAAAGACCCUCUUAUGACUGCUGCCCAGUGAAGGCUAUGUCUUUCCUCAGGACUGAAAUUAAUGCAAAGACACAUAGGAGCUUCAUGAUACAGCCAACAGUAGAGCGUGAGACACUGGUAUGGAGCUGGACACAGGACUGGAUUCACUGAAGGGCUGGAGACUGAUUAUUAACUACUCUGUGACCUUGGGGCUCAGUGCACAGAGCUAGC